This 111-nucleotide ribosomal RNA is filed under the name Bacilli bacterium. RNAcentral also lists the same sequence under 1 other name. Lineage: Bacteria; Bacillati; Bacillota; Bacilli. The record is from RNAcentral.
UCUGGUGACGAUGGCGAAGUGGACACACCUGUUCCCAUCCCGAACACAGAAGUUAAGCACUUCAGCGCCGAUUGUAGUACAUUAGUGUGCAAGAGUAGGACGUUGCCAGGC